UACGAAGGGUGCAAGCGUUACUCGGAAUUACUGGGCGUAAAGCGUGCGUAGGUGGUUCGUUAAGUCGGAUGUGAAAGCCCCGGGCUCAACCUGGGAAUUGCAUUCGAGACUGAAUAGCUAGGGUGCGGUAGAGGGAAGCGGAAUUUCCGGUGUAGCAGUGAAAUGCGUAGAUAUCGGGAGGAACAUCUGUGGCGAAGGCGACACCCUGGACCAGCACUGACACUGAGGCACGAAAGCGUGGGGAGCAAACAGG
This 253-nucleotide ribosomal RNA is filed under the name uncultured bacterium. RNAcentral's name for it is "partial 16S ribosomal RNA". It matches the Rfam family "Bacterial small subunit ribosomal RNA", at positions 524 to 776 of the family's 1533-position model. The record is from RNAcentral.